This is a long non-coding RNA of Heterocephalus glaber (naked mole-rat), 1129 nucleotides long. RefSeq lists it as uncharacterized. Lineage: Eukaryota; Metazoa; Chordata; Mammalia; Rodentia; Bathyergidae. The record is from RefSeq and is a predicted model, not a curated record.
UCCAUCCCUUACAUCUCCUGCUGGAAGAUUUCCGAUUGGGUUUUCUUUACAUCCUCUCGGGGGCAAAGUCUGGGCAAAAGGGAGUGACGUGCUACCUGCUGGGAAAUAAUUGACAAGAAAUCUGCCUCUCUUCUAUCUCCACGUGCAUUCAGAAUAAAAUGAGUAAAGAUGGAUAUUAAAACCCUGACACGCACAUGCAUGCACUCACACGGUCAGCGGGUGGCCUCCCUGAGGAGCAAGAAUUGCUUCUGUAGAGAAACAGAGAAUACAUGAAGAACUUUUUUGCACUGAAUGCACAAGCAGAUGAGGGGCAAGCCUCCCUUUUGCUCCAGCUGUAGGUGUGGGAGCACAGAGGCAGGGUGCCUGCCUCUAGGAAGCUCCAGCCUCAAGGGACAGCUGGGCCCUAGCCAGCUCUUUCUGCAACAUCUAUUCCAGAUGUUUAAAAAAUGAAUAUUAAUUUGAGAGCCAAGAACUGUUUCUAAGCACUUUAUUUGUGUUUCUUUUGAUCCUCACAACUCUAUAAAGUGGGUACUAUUUAUAUCCCUUUUAUAACUGAAGAACAAAGACAGAGAUUAAGUAAUGUGGCCAAGGUCUGAUUUCAGUUCUUACUUCUCAGGACAUUUUGGGAGCAAGUGUUGGCACCUACAUCUCAGCUCUGGGGAUCUUGAGUUAUAGCAGGCCCUCUCAUUUUCCCAUUUCUCAUCCCCAGGUGGGGGCCAAGCAGCUGGUUCCAGCAGCUGGGAAUUAGCUGAUCCACACACAGAGGGAGUGAGCCACGGGACACUCCUAGGCCCGGCAAAUGGAAGCUCAAGUAUAUCAGACGUUCCAUGUGCUUGGGCAUCUCAGCCUGCCUACACGUGUGUGUGCCUGUGAAGAUGGACAUUUAUUAUUACAUGGCUUCAGUGUCAUCUUGAAAGAAAAUAGAACCCCGUAAGAGAAAAGUUGUGGAUAUUGGAGGCAUGUUCAAUGAAAAAUGUACAGAUGAGUACUUUUUUUGUCAAGAUAAAAAAUAAGGCACUAUGCUUAAUUUGUAGGGAAAUUGUGUCGGUUUUCAAAGAUUAGAAUCUGAAAAGAUGUUAUAUGCAAAAAAUAUGCCACUUAAUCUGAUGGCUGUCAAGGAAUGCUUGGU